AUUAAUAAGCGGAGGAAAAGAAACUAACCAGGAUUCCCUCAGUAACGGCGAGUGAAGCGGGAAGAGCCCAGCACCGAAUCGCACGCCUUCCGGCGUCGCGAACUGUGGUGUUUAGGACUAGCGCAUGUCCGUCGGAACGGUGUCCGAGUCCUCCUGAUCGGGGCUUUGCCAGAGCGGGUGUCAGCCCUCUACGGCACCGGACCGUCGGACCCGCCACGUCCUCGGAGUCGGGUUGUUUGAGAAUGCAGCCCAAAGCGGGUGGUAAACUCCAUCUAAGGCUAAAUACGGACACGAGUCCGAUAGCGAACAAGUACCGUGAGGGAAAGUU
This 328-nucleotide ribosomal RNA is filed under the name Heronidrilus fastigatus. Its description in RNAcentral is "eukaryotic LSU rRNA". It matches the Rfam family "Eukaryotic large subunit ribosomal RNA", at positions 42 to 365 of the family's 3401-position model. The record is from RNAcentral. Lineage: Eukaryota; Metazoa; Annelida; Clitellata; Tubificida; Naididae.